AACUAUAACGGUCCUAAGGUAGCGAAAUUCCUUGUCAGGUAAGUUCUGACCCGCAUGAAAGGCGUAAUGAUUUGGGCACUGUCUCAACAGCCCGCCCGGCGAAAUUGUAGUACCGGUGAAGAUGCCGGUUACCCGCGACAAGACGGAAAGACCCCAUGGAGCUUUACUGUAGCCUAAUAUUGGGUUUCGAUGUUGCAUGCACAGGAUAGAUGGGACUCUGGGAAACCAAGGCUUUGGCUUUGGCGGAGAGGCCGUUGGGAUACCAUCCUUGCGAUAUUGGAAUUCUAACCUGCGGCUCUGAAUCGAGUCGGGGGACAUUGUUAGGUGGGCAGUUUGACUGGGGCGGUCGCCUCCUAAAGAGUAACGGAGGCGUUCAAAGGUUCGCUCAGCUUGAACGGAAAUCAAGCAAAAGAGUGCAAACGCAGAAGCGAGCCUAACUGCGAGACUGACGGGUCGAGCAGUAACGAAAGUUGGAGUUAGUGAUCCGGUGGUAUGUGAGUGGAAAUGCCAUCGCUCAACGGAUAAAAGUUACCCUGGGGAUAACAGGCUGAUCUCCCCCAAGAGUCCACAUCGACGGGGAGGUUUGGCACCUCGAUGUCGGCUCAUCGCAUCCUGGGGCUGUAUUCGGUCCCAAGGGUUUGGCUGUUCGCCAAUUAAAGCGGUACGCGAGCUGGGUUCAGAACGUCGUGAGACAGUUCGGUCCCUAUCUGUCGUGGGCGCAGGAUAUUUGAUGGGAGCUGUCCCUAGUACGAGAGGACCGGGACGGACGUACCUCUGGCGCACCAGUUGUUCCGCCAGGAGCAUAGCUGGGCAACUACGUACGGAUCGGAUAAACGCUGAAAGCAUCUAAGCGUGAAGCCGACCCAAAGAUAAGAUAUCCCAUUGUUUCAAACAAGUAAGACCCCUUGAAGACUACAAGGUUGAUAGGCACGAUGUGUAAGUGGAGUGAUCCAUUCAGCAAGCGUGUACUAAUAGGUCGAGGGCUUGACCAC
Molecule: ribosomal RNA, 992 nt
Filed under: human gut metagenome
Description: bacterial LSU rRNA
Rfam family: Bacterial large subunit ribosomal RNA
Source: RNAcentral